This 672-nucleotide long non-coding RNA is filed under the name Ursus americanus (American black bear). Its description in RNAcentral is "lncRNA (ENSUAMG00000011046.1)". The record is from RNAcentral. Lineage: Eukaryota; Metazoa; Chordata; Mammalia; Carnivora; Ursidae.
CAGACUCCGGCGGUCACAUGACUCCAGCCUAGAGCGUUGAUCGCACUGCGGCUCCCGCCCGGGCGAGUUCUCGCCCCCGCGCGGCCGUUGCCGAGGAGACGGCGCAGUCUCACGGUGCGUUGCCCCCUCUGCAGUCCCCCCGCCCCUCUUCUCCCACCACAAUGAGAUCUAAGAUGGCGGUGGCUGCGGCGGUUGGCGCCGAGUAGCUAAGGUAGAGAAGGCGGCCAUUGGGCCCUAGGCAGCCAAAGAACUUGUGGGCGCUCCCUGCUGCGGUCUCUAAGGGAGGACCGCUGGCGGGUCGUAGGGCCUGACCGCUACUCCACCCUUGGCAGGAGCGGCUGCUUCGUUUACAGCAGGCAACAGCUUUGAAGUGUGAAGCAGGGAAGGAGCCGUUUCUGAGCUGUAAAACUAGUUUUUAAACAGGUACUUGACCAUCUUAAGUACAGAGAAGAAAUCGAGAAGUUCCUCAAAUGAAAUUGACUAAACAACACAUAAAACCAAAUACUCAUUUUCUUCUCAAUUUCUAUUAAAAGUGCUUAGUACAUUUGGACACUGUAUGAAGACUUUCAAAACAGUGUACCAGAUAAAGUUAUCUACCCAUCUCUUUCGCUCAGUCCUUCUCCAACUUGCGCAGUUCCACACCCAGUGGAAAGCCAGAGUCCUCCACAAGAA